RNAcentral lists this ribosomal RNA (481 nucleotides) under uncultured bacterium. RNAcentral's name for it is "bacterial SSU rRNA". It matches the Rfam family "Bacterial small subunit ribosomal RNA", at positions 501 to 984 of the family's 1533-position model. The record is from RNAcentral.
CUACGUGCCAGCAGCCGCGGUAAUACGGAAGGUCCGGGCGUUAUCCGGAUUUAUUGGGUUUAAAGGGAGCGUAGGCUGGAGAUUAAGUGUGUUGUGAAAUGUAGGCGCUCAACGUCUGAUGUGCAGCGCAUACUGGUUCCCUUGAGUACGCGCAACGCCGGCGGAAUUCGUCGUGUAGCGGUGAAAUGCUUAGAUAUGACGAAGAACCCCGAUUGCGAAGGCAGCCGGCGGGAGCGCAACUGACGCUGAAGCUCGAAGGUGCGGGUAUCGAACAGGAUUAGAUACCCUGGUAGUCCGCACGGUAAACGCUGGAUGCCCGCUAUAUGCCCCUUAGGGUAUGUGGCCAAGUGAAAACGUUAAGCAUCCCACCUGGGGAGUACGCCGGCAACGGUGAAACUCAAAGGAAUUGACGGGGGCCCGCACAAGCGGAGGAACAUGUGGUUUAAUUCGAUGAUACGCGAGGAACCUUACCCGGGCUUGA